Molecule: long non-coding RNA, 955 nt
Organism: Triticum aestivum (bread wheat)
Lineage: Eukaryota; Viridiplantae; Streptophyta; Magnoliopsida; Poales; Poaceae
Exons: 3
Source: RefSeq, a predicted model, not a curated record
AUAUAGCAGCACUUGUGCUUUUAUCAUUCUGUCUUAAAUUAUUCACACUGCUGGAACCACAUGUGUAAAACUGGAAACAUAUUUUACCGAGUUAAGAGAAAAUGAUGCCAGGAGGCGUCAUCAGCAGCGGUGGCUCGGAGCACAGGCGAGGGUGUUUUAGAGACACAUUAGUAUUUUUUGAUAGAGACUACUGGUAGUUAGACUGAUUUCACCGUCGAGGCGAUCCUUACACAUUCAUCAAUAUUUAAUAACAACAGUGAAUUUAUCUCUAUAUAUCUGCCUUCUUACCUUUUGGGGGCUUAAACUUGCUCUGUAUGAUAUUAUAGGGCUUGAAUGAACCGCAGAUUUCGUAAAUCAGUAGUGUUGCUAUGAUUUUUCACUGCCACAUGUUUUAACUUAAUUAUUGGAAUCGGGAGCCCUCUCGAAUUACUUAUGCCUCUGGUGAUUUGAGAGCUAAUAUUCUGUUUCUCCAAAUACCAGUAUGAUGAUUGCAUUAAGGAUUGUGAUACGGUUGUUGAGAGGGGAAGGGAACUUCAUGCUAACUGUGCUGACUUCAAGAUGGUCUCAAGGGCACUAGCAAGGAAAGCAACUGCUCUUGUCAAUCUUGCCAAGUCUUCCAAAGACUACGAUGUUGCUGUUGAUUCCAGAACGCUAUAACUGAGCAUCAAACCUAGGUACCCUGAAAAGACUAAACGAUGCUAAACGAGCAAAGAAGGAGCUCAAGCAGCAAGAGUAUUAUGAUCCAUAAAAAGCUGAUGAGGAGCGAGAGAAAGCAAAAAUACCCAGAAGCAGUGAAGCAUUACACUAAAGCGCUCAGGAGAAACCUGAAGGAUCCAAAGUUAAUGAUGAAGGAUGCAGCUGAGAGAUACCUUUCUUAAACAUACCAAAUCUCAUACAGAGCACAGCAUGGUCCUAUAAUUCGAUAACAACAUUACUUGUUUUUCCCUGCUGCCGA